GCCAGCGUGGCACAGUGGUUUGAGUGCUGGACUAUUACUCUGGAGACCAGGGUUCGAAUUAUGGCUCAUCCAUGGAA
This is a non-coding RNA of Phrynosoma platyrhinos (Desert horned lizard), 77 nucleotides long. The record is from the annotation of a GenBank genome assembly. Lineage: Eukaryota; Metazoa; Chordata; Lepidosauria; Squamata; Phrynosomatidae.